UGGGGAAUAUUGCGCAAUGGGCGAAAGCCUGACGCAGCGACGCCGCGUGGGGGAUGACGGCCUUCGGGUUGUAAACCUCUUUCAGCAGGGACGAAGCGCAAGUGACGGUACCUGCAGAAGAAGCACCGGCCAACUACGUGCCAGCAGCCGCGGUAAUACGUAGGGUGCAAGCGUUGUCCGGAAUUAUUGGGCGUAAAGAGCUCGUAGGCGGUUUGUUGCGUCGGCUGUGAAAUCCCGAGGCUCAACCUCGGGUCUGCAGUCGAUACGAGCAAACUAGAGUGUUGCAGGGGAGACUGGAAUUCCUGGUGUAGCGGUGAAAUGCGCAGAUAUCAGGAGGAACACCGGUGGCGAAGGCGGGUCUCUGGGCAACAACUGACGCUGAGGAGCGAAAGCGUGGGGAGCGAACAGG
This 409-nucleotide ribosomal RNA is filed under the name Bacillota bacterium. RNAcentral's name for it is "Firmicutes bacterium partial 16S ribosomal RNA". It matches the Rfam family "Bacterial small subunit ribosomal RNA", at positions 355 to 776 of the family's 1533-position model. Lineage: Bacteria; Bacillati; Bacillota. The record is from RNAcentral. RNAcentral also lists the same sequence under 1 other name.